Molecule: long non-coding RNA, 5999 nt
Filed under: Musa acuminata (dwarf banana)
Lineage: Eukaryota; Viridiplantae; Streptophyta; Magnoliopsida; Zingiberales; Musaceae
Description: long non-coding RNA (MACU_LNC003511)
Source: RNAcentral
UCAAGUCAACAUGACAGGUCAACUCAUGACUCGCUCUCAAAAUUAGAGCAAUGAUUUGAGUUGGAUGGUUUAAUUGCGAGCAUAUAUCGAAGACGGUCGUGUUUUAGUCACGAGUUUGGAUAAGAUUCACCGUCGAUGGUUUCUACCGAAGGAGCCAUCAGCAUCCGACGGGAGCCUCAACUUGUCGUUUCAGUCGCCAUCGUGAAGCCAUGCCCAUCAUCCCCAAGCUCUAGAUCAUCCCUCAGCAAUGGAAUGGUUGGAGCGAUGCAUGAAACAUAAAAGCAUAUCCUCAUCGGACAAAACAGAGUUCGAGUGCACGAUCGACUGUCCGCCAUUCCACCCCAAUAGCUGCGGCAGAUCGGGCGGCUGAAGUUGAUCGAAUGAUUGGCUCUGCCAAGCGAUGCUGACACUCGAGCCGAGGUACGGCCGGGGAACAUCCAUUAUUGAUUACAUGAACAAUGUGCAAGGCAAUGCGGGAUCCGUGGACAGGCGCUUUCUCGUGCCCGAGAAGUGCUCGACGUUAUUCCUUCGUAGUCCGUAAGGGGCCACCCGUGUCCCUUUGGCCGCAUGGGAUGGUGAUCUCUUCCGCGACAUUAUUAAUGGAACGAAAGGCGGGAUCCGCGGCUCCGCAUCGAGCACUCGGUCGUUGCCCGGAGGACGCGAAGGACAGACUAUUUAUCCUGCAGGGAAAGUGCUCGACGUUAUUCCUCUGUAAUCCGGUAAGUGCCCACCCGCGUUCCUUCGGCUGCGUGGGAUGGUAACCUUUUCCGCAACAUCUUUAAUGGAAGUUGGAUCUGUCCAAUUCCGCCUUCCCUAACCUUAAACUUCUGCAACCCACAAGGUGGGAGAAAAGCAUAUAAGACAAUGAUGACAUGCUGGUCUCGUAGAAGGAUGCUUCGGUAAUAUUACACUGUAAGUGAUGCCUCAUCGGCCAAACUUCAUUGAAUGAUGGGAUUACACAUUAUCCUCUUAGCUAAUUAUGAUUAGUAUUACAAUCCUUAUAUUUUAAAAAGUAGCAUUCGGAUUUGUAUACUUACGAAAAUAAAAUAUUUAAUUUUAAUUCUCUUUAUGUCGUUAAUUUUGAUGAAAAAAAUUAUGUGUUGUCAUGUAAAAAAGAACUAAAUGAAAAGGAUAAAAAAAUAAUUUUAUUUAUUUUUUAAAUUAUUAAUUUCAUAUAAACUGCUCGCUUGUAGCGUAGAAACUUUAAUAGAGAAAUCGCUCUCCCUUGCUCUGGUUCCCUCCCCUUCGGUUGUGUUGCGGAUGGCAGACCAGCAACGGUGUCGAUGGCACACGAGGCCAAUGAUGUUCCAGAGGAUCAUGACUAAUUUCCUCCACCCCUUCUCUUUCCAACCUACUCGUCCAUCACCCCUUUGUUGAUCUUGCUUGCCCGUCGGAGAUGAAUGCCUAUCGCACCUACUCGCUUGUCGCACCUAGUUCUAUACAUGAGAGCAUAUUGAUCCCCCGGUGUUCUACGAGAUAUUGCCACUACAGCUGCUCACAUGCCGUGGAACUCUACCAGUACGAUUAUUGGUCUGCCCACUAAUAUGUCAACGAUAACCAGUAGGUGGUGGAUGCCAUGGCCUUCCUCGCUGACCUCACUAAUGUCAUCGGCGAUGCCAUCGCCAGGUGGCCACCCCACACCACAGCAUGUUGACAUCUCACUCUGGGCCCUAUCACAGACCAAGAGCGACGGGCACUAGCCGAACACCACCUCGGUGUCACCAAGCAAAGAGGCUGGCCGGAAGGAGUUCCCCCAACCAAGGACACUGUCAGACGUAACGAUUUACAACGAGGGCGGGUGCAAGCUCAGAGCAGUUCAGGUGAUGGUCAACGCUACGCCGAAGCACAACGUCGAUCAAUACAUGAUCUACAUAAAGAAAGGGGUGUAUGAGGAGAUGGUCAGAGUGCUAUUUGAGAAGAUGAACUUGGUAUUUUUCAGAGACGAGGAUGAGCAAAACGAUCAUUACAAGCUCCCAUAAUGUUGACAUGGUUGACAUCUCCACUUAUAACACGACCACCGUCGAUGAGUACAAACUUAACUUUUCUUAGAGUUACCACGUAUAGUUUCCUUUUUGCAAUCAAGAAGAAUUUGUCAUGAAUCCUCAGUCUAAUCCUGACCUAGCCAUGGCUUGGGACCUAACGUUCACCAAUAUCAUGGGGUCCGACAAGCACCAAGUUGUGGCCUUUUGCUUCGAUAGUGACCUCUUUAUGCUUGAGUUAGUGGAGUAACUUGGCUACAAGGACACCCUCUAUGCCCACUCCUUCUGCCAAUUCUAUAAGUCCUACUGCAUCUAUGGCUCCAUCGACUUCAUCUCCGGCAACUUUGCCACCUUCCGUAACUACCUCAUCUUCGUCCUCCCUUGCCAGCUUAAUCCUCAACACGACGAGUCCAACACUGUCACCACACAUGGCCGCACUAACCCCACCCACUCCACUGACUUCAUGUUUUGCAUUGCACCAUCGACGAGAGCAACGAGUACCUCGCGCUUUACUACUCGAAGCCUGUAAUCCACUGUAUGUACCUCAAGAGGCCAUAGAAGGAGUACUCGAGGACGGUGUUCCUCGACUGCAACUUGAAGGAGACCGUGAGGUCGGAGGGUUAGUUGCCAUGGACCGAUGACUUCAUGCUAGUGCGAAAGAGGAGGGAAGGAGGAAAUUGAUCAUGGUCAAAGGCGGCACCCGAAUCUCCUCAAGAACACCACUGGCCUCACGCACCAUCGAUGCUGCCGCUAGUUUGUUGUUUGCAGCGCAAUCGAAGGGGAGGGAACCGGAGGGAAGAAAAGCAAUUUUUAUUAAAACUUACACUAUGAGUAAGAAGUUUAUAUGAAAUUAUAUAAAAUUAAUAAUUAAAAGAUAGUAAAAUUAUUUUUUUUAUCUUUUUUUUUAUAUUUUUUUUACUUGACAACACGUGUAAUUUUUUCCGUCGAUAAAAUUAACAAGAUAAUUAAUGUUAAAUGUUUCAUUUUCAUAAGUAUAAAGAUUUUAAUAUUAUUUUUAAAAAUAUAAAAAUUAAAAUAUUAAUUAUAGUUAAUUAGAAGAGAUAAUAUGUAAUUACCCUGAUGCAUACGAUGUCUUAGCUUUGCCAAAAGUAGGUGAUCGAUAACAUAUGAUUGAUAGUAACAUUCAUAAUAUAAAACCAAACUGAAAAAUACAAUAAAAGAAAGGAAUGAAAAAUCUUUACUCAUAAUAUAUAUGUGUAUAUAUACAUAUAAAUAUACCUUUUUUAAGUCAUAUAGGUUAAUUUUACUCAUAAUUAGAAGUUGUUAAUAUAUGUAAUCAAGAUCGGAUCUUAAUAUUUAAUGGAUAUAUGCUCGGCCGAUGGCAGUUCAGUGAAUAGUGGCAACCUGUGGUCUGUUGCCGUAUCUAAACCUUUAUAACAGUGUUUAGGGUUCCGUAGAUUUCUUUCUUCCCGUUGGGCAACUUCUUUUCUGAUUCGCAGUAAUCUUCUGCGGAUGAAAAGGAUUUGAUCUCAUCUUCCGCAAACAACAUUUUGAUAUUUACUUUUUUAUCUUUAUUUCCAAAGAAAAGAAAAAGAUCUGAUCUUUUGGUUAUUGUUUGACUUAUACGUUUAAUUUGUCUACGCAUUUUGGGGAUUUAUUAGCUCUGAUAUCUAAUGGUUUCGGAUGAGUAAGUUUGAUGAAAUCCUGUUUAUGGGGCGACUUGUUUUUCUUCUUCUUUUGGUUGACAUUACUGCUACGAUUGAUGCCCGAUGAUGGAAGAUCUAAUAUCGUUAGCGGCUUAUGUGGUUUCCUAUUGAGCACUGAUGCUUGCUGCUUCAUCACCUCCACUUAUCCUCUUCUUCUUCUUCUUCUUCUUCGAAGCCAUGUGAAGGUGCUCAAUAAGUAAAGCCAGUCACUAAGCCUCGAUGAAUGCGAAAAGCUAUGAGAUCUGAGGGCUUCAUUAACCAAAGUAAUCUAUCAUAUAGAUAAAGGAAGAGAGGAGAAAUAGUAUUUCUUGCUUUGCCAAAUCGACUUCUUUGUUAAACAGAGUGCUGUGAACAUGACUCUUUACCUGUCCACCUGUUCUUAUGUUGUUGGCAUUGUUGAUAUUUGGGGUGGUAAGAGAAAGACUGAUAUUUGCUAUUUACAGUAUUCUUUAUGCUCCAUUGAAUUUAUUUGCAUUUAACAGUAUUUAAAUAAUUUAUAAUUUUAUUAGAAGUAAAGAUGUGAUGCUUCCAUAGAUUCUGUUGGUGUUAUAGUUAUAAUACUUGAUCAACAGUUAGGUGAUCAAAUUGUGACAGAACAUAUGUGUCAGACAAUGUCUAUGUUUAAUUGUAAUUUCAAGUUCUAAACAUAGUCAUGUUUGCUAAGAACCUUUUUUUGCUUGUACGUUUCAUAGAUUAGUAAAUCACUGUGGGCAUUUAAUAGGUCUGUCUGUAUAAACAUAUGAAGCUUUCUCCCUUUUAUGAUUACAGUAUCACAGUCUUUGCCAGCCACUGACAUGGCAUUUUGUGCAUAUUAGUAAUACAUUGUGUCAUCUUUUGAGUUACAGAAUCGCUAUACUGAUUCAAGUUGCAGUUAGUAGAAAUGGCUAGUUGUACUGUUCAUAUCUGUAGAACUUGCAAAUAUUAGUCUUUACUGUUCAUUCUACACUUCGUUAAUAUACUUGUUUGGGUUUAGAAAUUACUGUGAUUAUUUAUAGGUAGGCAUGAAGCUAUACAAAUAUUAGAAAUUUUGCUCUAUUAAUGAUUAUGAAAAACAAACAUCAGGCUGUGCCAGCCAUUGGCAUGAUAUUUUAUGCCUGUUAGUAUCACUUUAUUUGAUGUUAGUAACAUAUUCAAUUUACUUUAUUUUUAUUAAAUCAGAUGGCUGAUUUACUGUUCAUUUUGUGUUACCUGCAUGCUGAUCCAUAAUUUCUUUGCCGAUCUUUUAAUGAACAGUAUUUUUUUUUUGUCUUGAUUUUUCCCCUUGUGUUUACAUUGUUAUGUUGCACUUAAGAUGAGGCCCAGUGAUGGAAAUCAUUGAUUUGAGCUGCUCCAUGGCUAUUUCUUUUGAGCAUUAACUGCAUGCCUUCUUCAUGUCUUAAAACAAAACCACCACCACAGCCACCAUUAUCACCACCACCGCUACCACUUCACUACUUCACCACUUCACCACCACCACCGCUACCACUUUAUCGUCAUUAUUUAUGCAUGUUAAAUGCUCAUCGAGAAAUACCAUUCUUCGAGCUGCAGUGAAUUUCUAAAGCUAUGAGAUCUGAGGGCCUCAGCUAACAGUGUUUGAUUACUGUCGAUUCAUGAUCACCAGUGGAGCAUCCAUUUGGUUUGACAGCACCUAUCUUAGUCCAUCACCGUGGACAGUAAUUACGGAUGGUAAUGUAGACUUACAUACAUGUGAUGAUCAGGGUUACAUUUUUAGAACAACCAGUGUUGCUGUCUUCAACCAUUGCCUGCCUUGAAUCUUAUUAUGUGUUAUCCUUGUUUACGUUUUGCUUAUAUUGUGCACCUUUGUGUCUGUUGUAAUGCUCACAUAUAUCCAACAAACAUUAUUUACAAAAUAAUGGUAUCAGUUUCAUGUUUUUUGUUGUAGUUGUUGUUGUUAUUAGUGUUUCCUUGUAAUGUUGCUGGUAAAUAUUGCCAACUUCAGCAUUGAUGGAUUUGUAUAGCUAACCAUGACAAAGUUCAAUAAUUGAUCAAAUAAUACCAUACUGUAUUUUUCAUGUGAAUUCUUCUCACAAUUCUAUCAUUUUACAUUAUGGCAUAAGUUAGUUAGUUGGAUAUCUGCUAUCAUUUUAUGUUGUGUUAAUUAUUGUUUUAAUGGAUGCACUUAUCUGCUGUUGAGUGUAUUAUCGAAACUGAUAUAUCUUUUAUUUCUUUUUAUGGGUAUAUGCAGGAACAGGUCUUAUGUUUAAGCAGGACUAAGGAUGACUAAGGAGCUCAAUGUUUCUUACACCGAAAUCGAAUUGCAUACCCUAAAAUUCUUAUAGUUUUGUAAAGGGAAUGGCUGUUGUUCACUGUAAUUUUUUUAUGGGCGACCUCAUAUUGUUGUACAAUUUAGAGG